RNAcentral lists this long non-coding RNA (594 nucleotides) under Strigops habroptila (Kakapo). Its description in RNAcentral is "lncRNA (ENSSHBG00005001045.1)". The record is from RNAcentral. Lineage: Eukaryota; Metazoa; Chordata; Aves; Psittaciformes; Psittacidae.
GGAGAGGAGGAGCUACUGUAGAUAACACCUGAUCACAGAUACUGAUUCGUAGAACAUGUUAAGAACUCGUCAGCGAAGUUGAAGUUGACAAGCAGGACCUAUGAGGAGGUCACCAAGAAGAUGGAGCCAGGCUCCUUGCUGGAGUCCGUGGUGCUGGACACAACAAGCAUCAGCUGAAACACAAGAGGUUCUGACUAGAUAUAAAGACAAACUUUUUCACAGUGAAAACACCAAACAGUGGAGCAGGUUGCCCGAGGAGGUUGUGCAAACUCCAUUCUUGGAGAUUUUCAAGCCCUGACUAGAAAACAUCUUGAGCAACCUGGUCUGACCUCAGAGCUGACCCUGCUUUGAGGAGGAGGUUGGAGAAGAGACCUCCCAUGGUCCAUUCUAACCUGAAUUGCAUUAUGAUCCUAAGACCGAAGAGACCCAACUGAGUUAGCCAUGCUCCAGUUCUACUGUCUUAUUUCUGAGAUGAGAAUACCAGAACUGCAUGGGGAAUUGAAGAUGCCGGUGCAAGAGGCCAUACAAUGGCAUGUUUAUUCUUUCUCUUUUGGUCUCUAUUUCUCUCCUAAUAAAUUUUAAUGAUAAUCCUAA